GAGUCGAGUUAUUUGGGACUAUAGCUCUAAUAGUUUGGUUGGUGGUAAUGACACAUCAAAGGCUAAAUAUUGGUUAGUCGAUGCAUUUUACGGAGACCGAUAGCAUACAAGUACCGUAAGGGAACGAUGAAAAGCACCCUAUUAAGUUCACGGCGUCGGCCGCGUACAAUUCGUUGUACAACGCCGCGCCCAACAACUACAGUGGGAGUGAAAGAGAGAGUGAAAUCGCCUAUACAUAUAAUAUACUACGCGGCGUAUACACACACACAUAUACCCCCUCGUAUUAUAAGUCUGCGUUAGUACAAUCGGACAGAGUGUCGUAUUAUAGCCGCCUAAUAUACAGUUUCUAAUUGUAUAUUAUGGCUCGGCUCAUAGCGCGCUUCGGCCGCUAUACGCGACACAACUGUACGACCCGUUUUGAAACACGGACCAAGGAGUUCAACUGGAUUACGAGUCGUCGAGUGUAUUUAUUUAUACUCACACGGCAAAGCGAAAGCAAUCUUAAUCCUGUGCUAGGUUGGCGCCUUUGUGCGCUAACCGCAGCACGCGCUGAGUAAGUAUACGCGUGAAACCUUUCUAAGGUGACGCGCGUACCUUAGAGAGUCAAAUCGCUAAGGAUUACUCAAGCGUUCAACGAGUAUAUCUUGUUGAGACCCGAAAGAUGGUGAACUAUGCUCGGAUAUGGCGAAGUCAGGUGAAAACUUGAUGGAAGCUUGCGUUGUGCGGAACUGACGUGCAAAUCGUUACCGCCUAACCUGAGUAUAGGGGCGAAAGACUCAUCGAACCAUCUAGUAGCUGGUUCCCUCCGAAGUUUCCCUCAGGAUAGC
RNAcentral lists this ribosomal RNA (827 nucleotides) under Ammonia sp. AH3. RNAcentral's name for it is "eukaryotic LSU rRNA". It matches the Rfam family "Eukaryotic large subunit ribosomal RNA", at positions 262 to 982 of the family's 3401-position model. Lineage: Eukaryota; Foraminifera; Rotaliida; Rotaliidae. The record is from RNAcentral.